GUAGGGAAUAUUGGGCAAUGGUCGGAAGACUGACCCAGCCAUGCCGCGUGCAGGAAGACGGCCCUCUGGGUUGUAAACUGCUUUUAUCUGGGAAGAAAAAGGCCAUGCGUGGCAAAUUGCCGGUACCAGAUGAAUAAGCACCGGCUAACUCCGUGCCAGCAGCCGCGGUAAUACGGAGGGUGCGAGCGUUGUCCGGAUUUAUUGGGUUUAAAGGGUGCGUAGGCGGCUGAUUAAGUCAGCGGUGAAAGACUUGGGCUUAACCGGAGCAGUGCCGUUGAUACUGGUUGGCUUGAGUGUCGGAGGGGUACAUGGAAUUGAUGGUGUAGCGGUGAAAUGCAUAGAUACCAUCAGGAACACCGAUAGCGAAGGCAUUGUACUGGCCGACAACUGACGCUGAUGCACGAAAGUGUGGGGAUCGAACAGGAUUAGAAACCCUGGUAGUCC
This 444-nucleotide ribosomal RNA is filed under the name uncultured bacterium. RNAcentral's name for it is "partial 16S ribosomal RNA". It matches the Rfam family "Bacterial small subunit ribosomal RNA", at positions 354 to 796 of the family's 1533-position model. The record is from RNAcentral.